GAUGAACGCUGGCGGCGUGCCUAACACAUGCAAGUCGAACGUUAGGAAAUAGCAAUAUUUCUGAAAGUGGCGAACGGGUGAGUAACACGUAGGUAACCUGCCGCGCAGAGGGGGAUAACGACUGGAAACGGUCGCUAACACCGCAUGGUACUACUUUGACGGGAGUCUGAGUGGUUAAAACCUUGGUGCUGCGCGAGGGGCCUGCGUCCGAUUAGUUAGUUGGUGAGGUAACGGCUCACCAAGACGAUGAUCGGUAGCUGGUCUGAGAGGAUGAUCAGUCACACGGGAACUGAGACACGGUCCCGACUCCUACGGGGGGCAGCAGUGAGGAAUAUUGCACAAUGGACGCAAGUCUGAUGCAGCAACGCCGCGUGGAGGAUGAAGGCCCUUGGGUUGUAAACUCCUUUUUUCGGGGAAGAGAAUGGACGGUACCCGAAGAAUAAGUCACGGCUAACUACGUGCCAGCCGCCGCCGUAAGAC
RNAcentral lists this ribosomal RNA (480 nucleotides) under uncultured bacterium. RNAcentral's name for it is "bacterial SSU rRNA". It matches the Rfam family "Bacterial small subunit ribosomal RNA", at positions 28 to 526 of the family's 1533-position model. The record is from RNAcentral.